RNAcentral lists this ribosomal RNA (491 nucleotides) under uncultured bacterium. RNAcentral's name for it is "partial 16S ribosomal RNA". It matches the Rfam family "Bacterial small subunit ribosomal RNA", at positions 29 to 506 of the family's 1533-position model. The record is from RNAcentral.
AGUGAUCGCUGGCGGUAGGCCUAACACAUGCAAGUCGAACGGCAGCACAGUAAGAGCUUGCUCUUACGGGUGGCGAGUGGCGGACGGGUGAGGAAUACAUCGGAAUCUACUUUUUCGUGGGGGAUAACGUAGGGAAACUUACGCUAAUACCGCAUACGACCUACGGGUGAAAGCAGGGGAUCUUCGGACCUUGCGCGAUUGAAUGAGCCGAUGUCGGAUUAGCUAGUUGGCGGGGUAAAGGCCCACCAAGGCGACGAUCCGUAGCUGGUCUGAGAGGAUGAUCAGCCACACUGGAACUGAGACACGGUCCAGACUCCUACGGGAGGCAGCAGUGGGGAAUAUUGGACAAUGGGCGCAAGCCUGAUCCAGCCAUACCGCGUGGGUGAAGAAGGCCUUCGGGUUGUAAAGCCCUUUUGUUGGGAAAGAAAAGCAGCAGGUUAAUACCCCGCUGUUCUGACGGUACCCAAAGAAUAAGCACCGGCUAACUUCGU